RNAcentral lists this ribosomal RNA (305 nucleotides) under uncultured bacterium. RNAcentral's name for it is "partial 16S ribosomal RNA". It matches the Rfam family "Bacterial small subunit ribosomal RNA", at positions 505 to 807 of the family's 1533-position model. The record is from RNAcentral.
ACAGCAGUAGCCACGGUAAAACGGAGGGUGCAAGCGUUAUCCGGAUUUAUUGGGUUUAAAGGGUCCGUAGGCGGACUUAUAAGUCAGUGGUGAAAGCCUGUCGCUUAACGAUAGAACUGCCAUUGAUACUGUAAGUCUUGAGUAUAUUUGAGGUAGCUGGAAUAAGUAGUGUAGCGGUGAAAUGCAUAGAUAUUACUUAGAACACCAAUUGCGAAGGCAGGUUACCAAGAUAUAACUGACGCUGAGGGACGAAAGCGUGGGUAGCGAACAGGAUUAGAUACCCGUGUAGUCCCUGUCUCUUAUAC